RNAcentral lists this long non-coding RNA (1362 nucleotides) under Felis catus (domestic cat). Its description in RNAcentral is "lncRNA (ENSFCAG00000052080.1)". The record is from RNAcentral. Lineage: Eukaryota; Metazoa; Chordata; Mammalia; Carnivora; Felidae.
AACAAAUAUUUUUUAAAUGUCAUAUUUGCUUCAGAUUACUUUAAUAAAAAUUAAACAAUGCACAUAAAACUCUCUUUUCUCCGCCCCCCCCCCCCCCCCCCCCACCCCCCCAGUGACCCUCUCUCCUUCCCCUCCACCUCCUCCAGAGACUGGACUGAAGGUUGUCUGUUUCCUUCUUGCCUUCAUUUCUGAACAUUUACUCCCUCUACAGAGACCCCACCCGCCAGGCAUAGCGUCACUUGGGGUGUUCGUAAAAUAUCUGCUUUUUGCACUUGACAAUCUGAUGCAUCCCUUUCAACGCUCCACUAUACGAUGUGGGUUUUAUUAGCUCGUUAGCCGUUAACUGCUCAUUUAUUCCCCUACUGAUGGACAGUUAGAGUCAGCCGGCUUACUAUGGUUAUUCUGAUGUCUGAUACAGAGGAAAAAGGUGCCCGGGUUCCUUUGAUCACGGAAGUUGAUUUCAGAUCAGAAGGUCAACAGCAACUCGUCUAAUACCCACCCAGUCAGUACAGCCCUUGUGGAGGCUUGAAGAAUGUACGUGCGACAAAGGGGCACACAGGAGUUCGUUGUAGGAGUGAGCAGAUGGGUCGCUGGAUUUCAGAAUUUGUUUCUCACUAGGCUCCAAGGGUUUGGGGCCUGAAGAAAGAGAAUUGGCUUAUUCCAGUUCCUACCAAUCCCCCUGAGUAUUUUCUAGAGAUCCUCUUUGGUAAAGACGGGCAGAGAAAGAAGGUUCAGGAUACACACCAGAUGGGCAUUACUCACAAAAAGGGACCUGGACCACAGGGAGAGCUCUCUCCCACUUUCCUCACUGGUCCUGCUCUGUAGGCUCACCCACAGCAGGGCCCUUUGGGCAGGGAACGCUGGGCUCCUGUGUAUGCGGGGCGUGAACUUUGAGUGGGCACAUCCUCUCAGUUUGUUCAUCUGUAAAGCGGGUACAGUUUUAAUAUCUUUCUCACAAGGUGGUAGACGUGGUAAAUUAACCUAUGAGAAGUUUCUGCCGAUGCCUGGCAUGCCAUAAGUCCUCAGUAAAUAAUAGCCAUUGUCAGCAUUAUUUUUUUACGAUAAAAAAUAUAAAAAAUACACACACAAAAAUCACCCAUCAUCCCAAACCCAGAGAUAACCAUAGUUAAUAUUCUGGACAUUAUCCUUCUAAUCUUUCUUCCAAAUACACACACACACACACACAUACAUACACACACACACAAUUUGCUUAUUAAUUUCUGGUAUAUUAUAAACAUUUCCUGUGUCACCGGAUUCUUCCGAAAUGGGGUUUUCAUGGCUCUUUUAGCCAAUAUCUUAUUUUUGGAAAUUUAAUUUUGUUAAUAUUUUGCUGCUGCAAGUAAGGCUUCAGUAAUUGUUCUU